This 29-nucleotide non-coding RNA is filed under the name Rattus norvegicus (Norway rat). Lineage: Eukaryota; Metazoa; Chordata; Mammalia; Rodentia; Muridae. The record is from RNAcentral.
UGCGUGCGUGUUUAAUGUCAGACCUGGGA